GCCUUAAUAGCUUAAAUUAAAGCACUGGUCUUGUAAACCAGAGCUGUGGAAUAAAACCCUCUUAAGGCU
RNAcentral lists this transfer RNA (69 nucleotides) under Hyperolius marmoratus (marbled rush frog). RNAcentral describes it as "tRNA-Thr". It matches the Rfam family "tRNA". Rfam says of the family: Transfer RNA (tRNA) molecules are approximately 80 nucleotides in length. Their secondary structure includes four short double-helical elements and three loops (D, anti-codon, and T loops). Lineage: Eukaryota; Metazoa; Chordata; Amphibia; Anura; Hyperoliidae. The record is from RNAcentral.